This 462-nucleotide long non-coding RNA is filed under the name Coturnix japonica (Japanese quail). RNAcentral's name for it is "lncRNA (ENSCJPG00005019444.1)". The record is from RNAcentral. Lineage: Eukaryota; Metazoa; Chordata; Aves; Galliformes; Phasianidae.
UUUGUUAAUGUGCAAGAAAAUUUGUACUGUCCCAUAAUUAUUCCUACAACUGACAAACCCCACAGGGAGUGUACAAAGAAUUAAAAUCAUUUCUGGAGACUAGACCACGUGCAGAAGAAAAAAAGUCACCUUCAUUGUUUUACAGUUCUUCAAGCCAGAUGUUCCAUAGGACAAAGGUGUUAUAUCUUCAUGUGAUCAUCCUCUGCACAAUAUUGCUCAUAAAAUGCUUCACAGUGCUACACAAAUAAACAUCUCAUCCUUCUGAGGGAAAAACUAACUUCACCACAGGACCAGAAGGGUGCUAUAUGGGCUUCUGAAGGAACCAAAGGCUGAAUACCUGGUAGUAUUGGCAUGACUGACCUGCUUUAGGGGAGUUUAACCCUAACUGGUACAUAAGCUGGCCCAUAACAUCUCUUCAAGCAUACAGAUCAGUCUCUAACUGUAUUUUAUUCCACAUUGGAU